AUAGCGUAUAUUAAAGUUGUUGCAGUUAAAAAGCUCGUAGUUGAACUUCAGAUCUGGUUGAGUGGUCCACCUAACGGUGUGUUACUACUUGACUGGGUCUUGUCUCUUGGUGAACCGUUGUGUUCUUUAUUGAAUGCUUCGGGGAACCAGGACUUUUACCUUGAGAAAAUUAGAGUGUUCAAAGCAGGCCUAUGCCCGAAUACAUUAGCAUGGAAUAAUAGAAUAGGACGUGUGGUUCUAUUUUGUUGGUUCUUAGAGCUGCCGUAAUGAUUAAUAGGGAUAGUUGGGGGCAUUCAUAUUCAGUCGCUAGAGGUGAAAUUCUUGGAUUGACUGAAGAUGAACUACUG
Molecule: ribosomal RNA, 347 nt
Filed under: uncultured eukaryote
Lineage: Eukaryota
Description: SSU rRNA
Rfam family: Eukaryotic small subunit ribosomal RNA
Source: RNAcentral